GCUCUCUCAAAUUCGUCAAGUAUUCCUUUCUCCAUCUCUCCCAAAAGUGAACUCGCAGUUUCGCUAGAUGCCUAAACCUACGCUUAACCUUUGUCUCAUCAUUCUCUUCAAUUUUGUAACUAGUCUCGUCUGGAAUUAAACUCAAUCUACGACCAAAGAUUAGAUGAUUCGGUGUUAGCACAUCGUUUUCAACCUCAUCGUAAAUGUAGGUUAACGGUCUAGAAUUCAACGUGCCUUCAACCUCAACUAAAGUCGUCAACAGUUCUUCGAAUGUCAACUUGGCAUUCCCCAGCACCUUACGUAAACACCUCUUCACCAAACCAACCAACCUUUCAAAGAAUCCUCCCCACCAAGGCGCUCUCUCUAAAUUAAACUGCCAUUUCACACAAUUAUCUUGCAUAUAAGCUCUCACAUUCCCGCUCUCGUACAACUUCUUCACUGCUUU
This is a non-coding RNA of Paramuricea clavata, 445 nucleotides long. Lineage: Eukaryota; Metazoa; Cnidaria; Anthozoa; Malacalcyonacea; Plexauridae. The record is from the annotation of a GenBank genome assembly.